CAUAUUGAUUUAUAGCGAAAUUUAUGUAUUUAAACUGUUUCUCAGAGCAAUAUUUUCUUUCACUCAGGAUGCGGAGCAGACAGAGAAGUUGGUUUUAUCAAAGAAAACACAGAAAGUAAGUGUUUUACUUCAUUUACUUGUAAUAUUACUUCAUGAUGAUAUUAAUAUGCUGUGUGCACCUAAACAUUUCUCAUAGAUCUGAAUUGCUAUGCAGUGCUGAGGUGGAGGUAAUUUUUAACAGGGAAACACUAGGAAUAUUAAUUUCUAUGCAGUGCUGACGUGAAGGUCGCUAUAACAGUUUCUACAAUAUUUAAGAUGCUGUGAUGAUGAUACAUCCCGGAACCACUUCUGGCCAAAUUGGUUUCCAACAUAAGGGUGGAAUCAGACCUGGAUAACGCCCAACAUCUGGAACAGACAGACAGACACACACACACACACAAAAGAAAAAUAUUUUA
Labeo rohita (rohu) is the source of this 455-nucleotide long non-coding RNA. RefSeq lists it as uncharacterized. NCBI's taxonomy places the organism in Eukaryota, Metazoa, Chordata, Actinopteri, Cypriniformes, Cyprinidae. The transcript has 4 exons. The record is from RefSeq and is a predicted model, not a curated record.